CCUACGGGAGGCAGCAGUGGGGAAUCUUGCGCAAUGGGGGAACCCUGACGCAGCAACGCCGCGUGGGUGAUGAAGGCCUUCGGGUCGUAAAGCCCUGUCAGGUGGGAAGAAACUUGUGGAUGUUAAUACCAUCCAUGCUUGACGGUACCACCGGAGGAAGCACCGGCUAACUCCGUGCCAGCAGCCGCGGUAAUACGGAGGGUGCAAGCGUUGUUCGGAAUUAUUGGGCGUAAAGCGCGUGUAGGUGGUCGUGUAAGUCAGAUGUGAAAGCCUUCUGCUUAACAGAAGAAGGGCAUUUGAAACUGCUCGACUAGAGUACGGGAGAGGAGAGUGGAAUUCCCGGUGUAGAGGUGAAAUUCGUAGAUAUCGGGAGGAACACCAGUGGCGAAGGCGGCUCUCUGGUCCGAUACUGACACUGAGACGCGAAAGCGUGGGGAGCAAACAGGAUUAGAUACCCUGGUAGUCCACGCCGUAAACGAUGUUCACUAGGUGUUGGGGGUAUUGACCCCCUCAGUGCCGAAGCUAACGCAUUAAGUGAACCGCCUGGGGAGUACGGCCGCAAGGCUAAAACUUAAAGGAAUUGACGG
This 587-nucleotide ribosomal RNA is filed under the name uncultured bacterium. RNAcentral's name for it is "bacterial SSU rRNA". It matches the Rfam family "Bacterial small subunit ribosomal RNA", at positions 338 to 916 of the family's 1533-position model. The record is from RNAcentral.